This 21-nucleotide small nuclear RNA is filed under the name Arabidopsis thaliana (thale cress). Its description in RNAcentral is "snRNA_15887". Lineage: Eukaryota; Viridiplantae; Streptophyta; Magnoliopsida; Brassicales; Brassicaceae. The record is from RNAcentral.
UGGAUCCGUAACUUCGGGAAA